This is a long non-coding RNA of Drosophila innubila, 203 nucleotides long. RefSeq lists it as uncharacterized. Lineage: Eukaryota; Metazoa; Arthropoda; Insecta; Diptera; Drosophilidae. The transcript has 2 exons. The record is from RefSeq and is a predicted model, not a curated record.
CGUGUUGUGGCGACGCUGAAAGUCAGACGUGUUGAGCGCAAGGCAGCAAAAAAUCAAAAUCAAACAUAGUGCAAAGUUGAGAACAGUUUUGAAGUUUGCCCGCUGGCAAACUCGCGACUAACGAUUGUGCAUGACCCGCUGCAAUUGUGCCUUUUUCAAGUGGAAAUGCUAAAGAGAACCUCAAUUGAGCAGAGACAAACAAA